GACGUAGGGGGCCAGCGUUGUUCGGAAUUAUUGGGUGUAAAGGGUUCGUAGGCGGUGUGGCAAGUCGGGAGUGAAAUCUCUGGGCUCAACCCAGAGUCUGCUUCCGAAACUGCUGUGCUUGAGUGUGGGAGAGGCGCGUGGAAUUGCAGGUGUAGCGGUGAAAUGCGUAGAUAUCUGCAGGAACACCCGUGGCGAAAGCGGCGCGCUGGACCACUACUGACGCUGAGGAACGAAAGCUAGGGGAGCAAACAGG
This 253-nucleotide ribosomal RNA is filed under the name uncultured bacterium. RNAcentral's name for it is "partial 16S ribosomal RNA". It matches the Rfam family "Bacterial small subunit ribosomal RNA", at positions 524 to 776 of the family's 1533-position model. The record is from RNAcentral.